GAUGAACGCUGGCGGCGUGCCUAACACAUUCAAGUCGAACGGAGCCAUCGGAUUAAUCCUUCGGGAAGCGUCUGAGAAGCUUAGUGGCGGACGGGUGAGUAACGCGUGAGCAACCUGCCUUUGCAACCGGGAUAACAGUUGGAAACGACUGCUAAUACGGGAUGACGUACACGGGUCGCAUGGCCUGUGUACCAAAGAUGCGUCGUGCAAAGAUGGGCUCGCGUCUGAUUAGAUAGUUGGCGGGGUAACGGCCCACCAAGUCGACGAUCAGUAGCCGGACUGAGAGGUUGAACGGCCACAUUGGAACUGAGAUACGGUCCAGACUCCUACGGGAGGCAGCAGUGGGGAAUAUUGGGCAAUGGGCGAAAGCCUGACCCAGCGACGCCGCGUGAGGGAAGAAGGUCUUCGGAUUGUAAACCUCUAGUUGACAGGGAAGAAGAAAGUGACGGUACCUGUCGAGGAAGUCACGGCUAACUACGUG
RNAcentral lists this ribosomal RNA (481 nucleotides) under uncultured bacterium. Its description in RNAcentral is "bacterial SSU rRNA". It matches the Rfam family "Bacterial small subunit ribosomal RNA", at positions 28 to 507 of the family's 1533-position model. The record is from RNAcentral.